GAGCGUGAGACUUUUAAUCUCAAGGUUGCGGGUUCGAGUCCCGCGUUGGGCU
This 52-nucleotide transfer RNA is filed under the name Candida maltosa Xu316. It matches the Rfam family "tRNA", at positions 21 to 71 of the family's 71-position model. Rfam says of the family: Transfer RNA (tRNA) molecules are approximately 80 nucleotides in length. Their secondary structure includes four short double-helical elements and three loops (D, anti-codon, and T loops). The record is from Rfam by way of RNAcentral. Lineage: Eukaryota; Fungi; Ascomycota; Pichiomycetes; Serinales; Debaryomycetaceae.